RNAcentral lists this ribosomal RNA (406 nucleotides) under uncultured bacterium. RNAcentral describes it as "partial 16S ribosomal RNA". It matches the Rfam family "Bacterial small subunit ribosomal RNA", at positions 30 to 526 of the family's 1533-position model. The record is from RNAcentral.
AUUGAACGCUGGCGGCAAGCCUAACACAUGCAAGUCGAACGAGUGGCGGACGGGUGAGUAAUGUCUGGGAAACUGCCUGAUGGAGGGGGAUCACUACUGGACACGGUAGCUAAUACCGCAUACCAUCGGAUGUGCCCAGAUGGGAUUAGCUAGUAGGUGGGGUAAAGGCUCACCUAGGCGACGAUCCCUCGCUGGUCUGAGAGGCUGACCAGCAACACUGGAACUGAGACACGGGCCAGACUCCUACGUGAGGCAGCAGUGGGGAAUAUUGCACAAUGGGCGCAAGCCUGAGGCAGCCAGGCCGCGUGUAUGAAGAAGGCCGUCGGGUUGUAAAGUACUUUCAGCGGGGAGGCGUUACCCGCAGAAGAAGCACCGGCUAACUCCGUGCCAGAAGCCGCGGUAAUUC